AAUAGUUGAAAAAAAAUUAUUUUAACUUAGACUCAAUGGCCCAAAGGAAAAAAAAAGUGAUAAUUGAAUCUGAUUUUUUAAUAGGCUCAAAUGGCCCAAGAGAGAUUUGAUUUGAGCUAGAUCCAAAAAUAAUGACCCAAUAUAGAUUUGUUAUUAAUAUUACUUAAUUGCCCUUAAUGAAAUAUGCAAUGUUAGUGAAGGAAACAUGCCCCUAAGGUAAUUAUGAC
RNAcentral lists this long non-coding RNA (227 nucleotides) under Brassica rapa (field mustard). RNAcentral describes it as "long non-coding RNA (BRAP_LNC000249)". Lineage: Eukaryota; Viridiplantae; Streptophyta; Magnoliopsida; Brassicales; Brassicaceae. The record is from RNAcentral.